AACGGCUAUACCAUGCUGAAUAUAUAGCGAUUCUCGUUAGAUCACCGAAGUCAAGCAUCAUUGGGCGCGGUCAGUACUUGGGUGGGUGACCACCUGGGAACACCGUGUGCUGUU
This is a non-coding RNA of Caerostris darwini, 114 nucleotides long. NCBI's taxonomy places the organism in Eukaryota, Metazoa, Arthropoda, Arachnida, Araneae, Araneidae. The record is from the annotation of a GenBank genome assembly.